AGCAGCCGCGGUAAUUCCAGCUCCAAUAGCGUAUAUUAAAGUUGUUGCAGUUAAAAAGCUCGUAGUUGAAUUUCGGGAUUGACACAUCGGUCGUGCCUUAAGGGGUAUGAACUGGUGUAGUCAAUUUCUCACCUUCUGGAGAACCGCGAUGCCCUUAAUUGGGUGUCGCGGGGAACCAGGACCUUUACUUUGAAAAAUUAGAGUGUUUAAAGCAGGCUCACGCUUGAAUACAUUAACAUGGAAUAAUGAAAUAGGACGUUUGAUUCUAUUUUGUUGGUUUCUAGGAUCGACGUAAUGAUUAAUAGGGAUAGUUGGGGGCAUUAGUAUUCAAUUGUCAGAGGUGAAAUUCUUGGAUUUAUUGAAGACUAACUACUGCGAAAGCAUUUGCCAAGGAUGCUUUCAUUAAUCAAGAACGAAAGUUAGGGGAUCGAAGACGAUCAGAUACCGUCG
Molecule: ribosomal RNA, 450 nt
Filed under: uncultured Entrophospora
Lineage: Eukaryota; Fungi; Glomeromycota; Glomeromycetes; Entrophosporales; Entrophosporaceae
Description: SSU rRNA
Rfam family: Eukaryotic small subunit ribosomal RNA
Source: RNAcentral